AUUGAACGCUGGCGGCAGGCCUAACACAUACAAGUCGAACGAGUGGCGGACGGGUGAGGAAUAUAUCGGAAUCUACUCUGUCGUGGGGGAUAACGUAGGGCAACUUACGCUAAUACCGCAUACGAUUGAAUGAGCCGAUGUCGGAUUAGCUAGUUGGGGGGGUAAAGGCUCACCAAGGCGACGAUCCGUAGCUGGUCUGAGAGGAUGAUCAGCCACACUGGAACUGAGACACGGUCCAGACUCCUACGGGAGGCAGCAGUGGGGAAUAUUGGACAAGGGGGGCAAGCCUGAUCCAGCCAUACCGCGUGGGUGAAGAAGUCCUUCGGGUUGUAAAGCCCUUUUGUUGGGAAGGCGGUACCCAAAGAAUAAGCACCGGCUAACUUCGUGCCAGCAGCCGCGGUAAUAC
Molecule: ribosomal RNA, 406 nt
Filed under: uncultured bacterium
Lineage: Bacteria
Description: partial 16S ribosomal RNA
Rfam family: Bacterial small subunit ribosomal RNA
Source: RNAcentral